Molecule: long non-coding RNA, 409 nt
Organism: Lagopus muta (rock ptarmigan)
Lineage: Eukaryota; Metazoa; Chordata; Aves; Galliformes; Phasianidae
Exons: 3
Source: RefSeq, a predicted model, not a curated record
UCUGGAGCAGCCUUGUGUGACCACACUGCUCACAGGUCCCCCAGGCGUGAGAGUCAGACCUCAAAGCAGCAAGUGCGAAGCUAAGAUCCCACAUGGACACACCUGGGUUCCUCAGCAGCUAUGCCUGAUCAGAGGCUGACCCAUACUCACACUUCCGCAGAGGUCUGGCCUUUCAUCUCACAUUUGAUCUCUGGUGCCUAUGACGUGCUGGGACUUGGUUUCACCUCCUGGAACGAUGUGGAGUGGUUGGUCACUGGCAGAACAGAUUCUCACCAAAAGUAGGAAAUUUGUGCAGAAUGUUUCGCCUUUGAGAGAAGAGCAGUUCUUUAGUAAGCAGAGCAGCAUCAGGAAGGAACAUGCCAAUUGCCUACAUACGCAGGAUGGGCGUUCGAUUGUAAUUGUGCCUACC